RNAcentral lists this ribosomal RNA (477 nucleotides) under Streptococcus sanguinis. Its description in RNAcentral is "bacterial SSU rRNA". It matches the Rfam family "Bacterial small subunit ribosomal RNA", at positions 28 to 490 of the family's 1533-position model. Lineage: Bacteria; Bacillati; Bacillota; Bacilli; Lactobacillales; Streptococcaceae. The record is from RNAcentral.
GACGAACGCUGGCGGCGUGCCUAAUACAUGCAAGUAGAACGCUGAAGAGAGGAGCUUGCUCCUCUUGGAUGAGUUGCGAACGGGUGAGUAACGCGUAGGUAACCUGCCUGGUAGCGGGGGAUAACUAUUGGAAACGAUAGCUAAUACCGCAUGAUAUUGAAUAUCGCAUGAUAAUUAAUUGAAAGAUGCAAUUGCAUCACUACCAGAUGGACCUGCGUUGUAUUAGCUAGUUGGUGAGGUAACGGCUCACCAAGGCGACGAUACAUAGCCGACCUGAGAGGGUGAUCGGCCACACUGGGACUGAGACACGGCCCAGACUCCUACGGGAGGCAGCAGUAGGGAAUCUUCGGCAAUGGGGGGAACCCUGACCGAGCAACGCCGCGUGAGUGAAGAAGGUUUUCGGAUCGUAAAGCUCUGUUGUAAGAGAAGAACGGGUGUGAGAGUGGAAAGUCACACUGUGACGUAUCUACCAGAAAG